This 429-nucleotide ribosomal RNA is filed under the name uncultured archaeon. Its description in RNAcentral is "bacterial SSU rRNA". It matches the Rfam family "Archaeal small subunit ribosomal RNA", at positions 474 to 903 of the family's 1478-position model. The record is from RNAcentral.
AACCAGCUCUUCAAGUGGUCGGGAUAAUUAUUGGGCUUAAAGUGUCCGUAGCCGGUUUAGUAAGUUCCUGGUAAAAUCGGGUAGCUUAACUAUCUGCAUGCUAGGAAUACUGUUAUACUAGAGGGCGGGAGAGGUCUGAGGUACUACAGGGGUAGGGGUGAAAUCUUAUAAUCCUUGUAGGACCACCAGUGGCGAAGGCGUCAGACUGGAACGCGCCUGACGGUGAGGGACGAAAGCCAGGGGGAGCGAACCGGAUUAGAUACCCGGGUAGUCCUGGCCGUAAACGAUGCAUACUAGGUGAUGGCACGGCCAUGAGCCAUGUCAGUGCCGUAGGGAAACCGUUAAGUGUGCCGCCUGGGAAGUACGGUCGCAAGGCUAAAACUUAAAGGAAUUGGCGGGGAGCACCACAAGGGGUGAAGCCUGCGGUUU